Long non-coding RNA from Asparagus officinalis (garden asparagus), 3199 nucleotides. RefSeq lists it as uncharacterized. The transcript is spliced from 5 exons. Lineage: Eukaryota; Viridiplantae; Streptophyta; Magnoliopsida; Asparagales; Asparagaceae. The record is from RefSeq and is a predicted model, not a curated record.
GACAAAUUAAAAUGACAAAUAAAAAACUUAUGCUAUAUUUUGUCAUGAAGUUUAUGAGUUUAAUGUUAUAAGUCGAUGUUUUCCCUCUCUUAAAAUCCUAUUGACUGGAUGCACUAAUUUGGUGAAAUCUGUAAAUAUAAUUGGGGAUAUAUAUUGCCUAUAAGUUGCUCAUUUAAAUUGCUUGCUUAAGAUGAGUGUUGUUAGUCCAAUUUGAAGUUUUAACUAACUCUCUUUUGUGGAUUUUUCUUCAUACUAAAGGCAAGGAACUGCUUGAGUAAAUUUGAGGCAGUAUAGAUCUUUCUUCUUAACUGCUGCUCAAAUGGCUAUAAGAGGUGCGAACUUUGCAAGAAAAUUAUCGCAAGGAAAGAAUUGCAUGCAUAAGUUAAAAUGAAAGCUUGAUCAGGUUGAAAUAUAUUUUGAGGCAAAAAUUACCUUUAAGUGAUCAACGCUGGUAAGUUUUUAAUUAGUGUAUUUUAAUUACUUUGUGUUGUUUCAUUCUCAUAAUCUUGGGACAUAGUUAAUUUUUGAAAGGUGUAUCUUAGAGUGAAAAUACUUAUAUUGAUUUAUCUUUAUAGUCUUUACAUCGUUUCAACAGCUCUAUUGUAUAUACCGCUGUCAAAAAACAAAUACAUGUGCAUUUUAGUAUACAAUGACAAAUUAAAAUGAUUAAUAAAAAACUUAUGCUAUUAUCAUUAAGUUUCUUUGUUCUAGUGCAUCCACCAUUUAGCGUGACUGGUAGCAUGAAUAGCUUGGAUGUACAUUCUUAAUUUGUUUUAUGUUUUGAGGAAAGAAAAAUAUCAGUCAUAACUACAAAUUAAAAGGCUUUAUUGAUUCUUGUUGCUAAUUGUUAUUGUUGGCUUUUUGUGCUUACAUUAAGGUAUUGUUUGUUGGCUGCUUGUGGUAUAUAAUGGUCGGUUUGAGCUUAAUGACAGAUAGCUUUCUUUGGUACUCAAUUCUGGUAUGCGUUCUUUUGGUUUAUGUUUUUUAGGUGGGCAGUGAUGAUGAUAACAAACUGAGAAUGCAUCCUAUUUUAAUUAAUUAUGUAAUGUUUAGGCGAGGCAAUUAUGUGUGGAAUGCAAGCUACAUUGAUAUUACAAUGUUUGGGUGAUGUAAUCCCUCAUAAUAGCAGCCUACAUUGCAUCAUAGUUUUAUAGGAGAGGCAAUCUUUUAUGACCAGACUAUUUUUUUCCUGAGCCCUAGUAAGUCCUCAUAGAUUUUGGUGAUGAAUUCGAGCUUGUUUAGCUCUAUUUUUCAUAUAACCACACCGAGUGUGUCAAAGCGAUUUUCAUAUAGAAAGUCACUAUGGUAUUAAGCUUUUCUGAACUGGAUCUGAAGACCAAAAUAAAGUCAUCAGGCUUGUGCACAAAAACUUGGUAGCAACUCCAAUAAAAAUUCAGUUUCAGGAGAUAGUGCAAGAAUAUAACUAUGGUGCAGGAAUAUAUAAUUGACAUUAAUUAUAUCCUUUUUAAGAUAUGAGAUACUGCAAGAAUAUAACAACUCAGUUUCAGGAGAUUGACAUAUAUGACAUGUAUCUUUCUUGAUACAUCAAAUCUCAGCUUCCUCCUUGUAGAUCUCUGCCGUUUUUUUGGGCGCGCGUUCGUCUCUGUGUAAGUAAUUGGUUCUCUAACAUUUGUGCUAAUUUGUUGUGGUACUUUCCAUAAUUGAUCUAAUUGGCAACACAAAUUUAUAUAUUCUCAGUUGAUCUAUCUAUUAUUGAAUUCAUUCAUUAGGAAUAUGAGCACAUGCGAGUAUAUAGUUUUACGUUUUUGAAAAAAAAAAUAUAACUACCACCAUAAUCAGAACAUAAUGUAUAAUCAUAAUACUUGCUUAACAUUGGUUCAUAGGUAUUAAACUUUGAUAAGUUCGAUAACUUCAAAUUUUAGGUUUGUACCUGUGAAUCACCUUCAAUAGCUUCGAUAAGUUUUGUAACAGUGUAGUUCUCAUUGCCUGUUUCAUCAUUAUAAAAAUAAAUCUAUGAAAAAUACAUGUAAAGCUUUCUUUAAAUUUGUAGGAUAUUAUUGUGAUAUAUUAGAUAAAUGUAUUAGAUCAUUAAUCAAACAAAAGAAUUGCUUACCUUCUUUGAAGUUAUACUUUGUUAGCUUAACCUGAACUUUUAGUCUUCCCAAUAAUUGAUUUGAUAAUCUCUGGGAAUAUCUCCCUUCCAUUGUUCUGCACAAAAAUCAGGCAUUAGUUACGCAAUUCUUAAUACAUUUAUAUUCUAAUGUGAAGCAGAUUGAUUAUUAAGCACUUCUUAAUACAUUUAUCUUCUAAUGCACAAAAUCUCUGGGAAUAUCUCCCUUUCAUUGUUCCUCCAUCAGUGUUAGUUACAUGCAAAAAUUAAGUACCUUUUUCAGUGUUUUUUUUCAGAUCAUAUGCAGAAAUCUUGAUCAACUUUUCAGCUAGGUAAGUUCUCUGCUAUUUCUUCUAAGUUUUUAUUUCUCUUCUUCUUCUUCGUCUUUUUUCUUUCUGCUGCUUAUUUUUUUUAUGCCAUCCUGUUGUUUUGUAUUGCUUCUGGCCGCUGCUCUCUUCUUGGUUUCCUGGAGCAUCGACAUAUACAACUUCAUAAAUUGUUGCUUCCGAAUCCUUUAUUAUCUCUGAUUGAGUAUUGGAGAAAUUCACAGACGAAGUCACCAACUGUUGAAAAGCAUGAGCUUCUUGAAAUGAGACGGGUUGCUGCCUAUAUAGGAUAGGAGAAAACAAAGCAAAGGAAAUUAACUCAAGAUGGGCAGUGAUGAUGAUAACAAACUGAUGGGGUUCAAAAGCAAAUCUGAGUUUAGUGUUCAAAGCUGCUUUUUUCAACUUCAUUUUCCUCUCAAGGGCUGCAGCUGCUGUUAUUGGCUUCCUUUCCUUUCCUCUCAAGGGCUAGGUAAGUUCUCUGCUAUUUCUUCCAACUUUUUCUCUCUUCUUCUUCGUCUUUUUUCUUGCUGAUGCUUUCUUUUUUUUAUGCCAUCGUGUUGGCUGCUGCUCUCUCCUUGGUUUCCUUUCUUCGUGCCUUUUUUUUGAGUUGAAUGGAGUCCUGGUUGGCUGCUGCUCUGAUUUUGCAUACUGGCGGCAACAGUAAUUUAUCCUGAUGUAGUGAGGGUUGUUUUAUUGAGUGAAGUUUGAAUGUAAACCUAUUAUUAUUAUGAAUUUGGAGGGAGAAUAGAAUAUUUCAUCAGCUUAGAUGUAUUUGAAUUUUGAAUGUUUAAAUUUUGAAGUC